RNAcentral lists this ribosomal RNA (253 nucleotides) under uncultured bacterium. RNAcentral describes it as "partial 16S ribosomal RNA". It matches the Rfam family "Bacterial small subunit ribosomal RNA", at positions 524 to 776 of the family's 1533-position model. The record is from RNAcentral.
UACAGAGGUGGCAAGCGUUGUUCGGAAUUACUGGGCGUAAAGGGCGCGUAGGCGGCUCGCUAAGUCAGACGUGAAAUCCCCCGGCUUAACCUGGGAACUGCGUCUGAUACUGGCAAGCUCGAGUGCGGGAGAGGGAUGAGGAAUUCCAGGUGUAGCGGUGAAAUGCGUAGAUAUCUGGAGGAACACCGGUGGCGAAGGCGGCAUCCUGGACCGACACUGACGCUGAGGCGCGAAAGCUAGGGGAGCAAACAGG